GACAGAGGUGGCAAGCGUUGUCCGGAAUUACUGGGCGUAAAGAGCGUGUAGGCGGCCCGGUAAGUCCGCUGUGAAAGUCGGGGGCUCAACCCUCGAAUGCCGGUGGAUACUGUCGGGCUAGAGUGCGGAAGAGGCGAGUGGAAUUCCUGGUGUAGCGGUGAAAUGCGCAGAUAUCAGGAGGAACACCAAUUGCGAAGGCAGCUCGCUGGGACGUAACUGACGCUGAGACGCGAAAGCGUGGGGAGCAAACAGG
This 253-nucleotide ribosomal RNA is filed under the name uncultured bacterium. RNAcentral's name for it is "partial 16S ribosomal RNA". It matches the Rfam family "Bacterial small subunit ribosomal RNA", at positions 524 to 776 of the family's 1533-position model. The record is from RNAcentral.